This 543-nucleotide ribosomal RNA is filed under the name uncultured bacterium. RNAcentral describes it as "bacterial SSU rRNA". It matches the Rfam family "Bacterial small subunit ribosomal RNA", at positions 341 to 899 of the family's 1533-position model. The record is from RNAcentral.
ACGGGAGGCAGCAGUGAGGAAUAUUUCACAAUGAGCGAAAGCUUGAUGGAGCAAUGCCGCGUGCAGGAUGAAGGCCCUCGGGUUGUAAACUGCUUUUAUAAGAGAAGAUUAUGACGGUAACUUAUGAAUAAGGGACGGCUAACUACGUGCCAGCAGCCGCGGUCAUACGUAGGUCCCGAGCGUUAUCCGGAGUGACUGGGCGUAAAGAGUUGCGUAGGCGGUCAAGUUAGCGAGCGAUGAAAACUAUCGGCUCAACCGAUAGCUUGUUGUUCGAACUGCUUGACUCGAGAGUAUCAGAGGUCGCUGGAAUUCCUAGUGUAGCAGUGAAAUGCGUAGAUAUUAGGAAGAACACCGAUGGCGUAGGCAGGCGACUGGGAUAUUUCUGACGCUAAGGCACGAAAGCGUGGGGAGCGAACCGGAUUAGAUACCCGGGUAGUCCACGCCGUAAACGAUGGAUACUAGCUGUUGGAGGUAUCGACCCCUUCAGUAGCGAAGCUAACGCGUUAAGUAUCCCGCCUGUGGAGUACGGUCGCAAGACUAAAA